RNAcentral lists this ribosomal RNA (522 nucleotides) under uncultured bacterium. RNAcentral describes it as "bacterial SSU rRNA". It matches the Rfam family "Bacterial small subunit ribosomal RNA", at positions 8 to 525 of the family's 1533-position model. The record is from RNAcentral.
AGAGUUUGAUCCUGGCUCAGAUUGAGCGCUGGCGGCAUGCCUUACACAUGCAAGUCGAACGGCAGCACGGGAGCAAUCCUGGUGGCGAGUGGCGAACGGGUGAGUAAUGUAUCGGAACGUACCAUUGAGUGGGGGAUAACGUAGCGAAAGUUACGCUAAUACCGCAUAUACCCUGAGGGGGAAAGCAGGGGAUCGCAAGACCUUGUGCUCUUUGAGCGGCCGAUAUCAGAUUAGCUAGUUGGUGAGGUAAAGGCUCACCAAGGCGACGAUCUGUAGCGGGUCUGAGAGGAUGAUCCGCCACACUGGAACUGAGACACGGUCCAGACUCCUACGGGAGGCAGCAGUGGGGAAUUUUGGACAAUGGGGGCAACCCUGAUCCAGCCAUGCCGCGUGAGUGAAGAAGGCCUUCGGGUUGUAAAGCUCUUUCGGCCGGGAGGAAAUCGCAUCAGUUAAUACCUGGUGUGGAUGACAGUACCGGAAUAAGAAGCACCGGCUAACUACGUGCCAGCAGCCGCGGUAAUA